CUUUAGUUAGUAUAGUUUGUACGUUUGCCUUCCAAGCAGAAAGGCUACCUUAAUGUAGACUAAAGAU
RNAcentral lists this transfer RNA (67 nucleotides) under Pleurobranchaea novaezealandiae. RNAcentral's name for it is "tRNA-Gly". The record is from RNAcentral. Lineage: Eukaryota; Metazoa; Mollusca; Gastropoda; Pleurobranchida; Pleurobranchidae.